This 467-nucleotide ribosomal RNA is filed under the name uncultured bacterium. Its description in RNAcentral is "partial 16S ribosomal RNA". It matches the Rfam family "Bacterial small subunit ribosomal RNA", at positions 29 to 507 of the family's 1533-position model. The record is from RNAcentral.
UAUUAACUCUGGCGGCGUGCUUAACACAUGCAAGUCGAACGGAAAGGCCCAAGCUUGCUUGGGUACUCGAGUGGCGAACGGGUGAGUAACACGUGGGUGAUCUGCCCUGCACUUCGGGAUAAGCCUGGGAAACUGGGUCUAAUACCGGAUAGGACCACUUCUUGGAUGUUGUGGUGGAAAGUUUUUUCGGUGUGGGAUGAGCUCGCGGCCUAUCAGCUUGUUGGUGGGGUAAUGGCCUACCAAGGCGUCGACGGGUAGCCGGCCUGAGAGGGUGUACGGCCACAUUGGGACUGAGAUACGGCCCAGACUCCUACGGGAGGCAGCAGUGGGGAAUAUUGCACAAUGGGCGCAAGCCUGAUGCAGCGACGCCGCGUGGGGGAUGACGGCCUUCGGGUUGUAAACUCCUUUCGCUAGGGACGAAGCGUUUUGUGACGGUACCUGGAGAAGAAGCACCGGCUAACUACGUG